This 1450-nucleotide ribosomal RNA is filed under the name uncultured Bordetella sp. Its description in RNAcentral is "partial 16S-23S ribosomal RNA intergenic spacer". It matches the Rfam family "Bacterial small subunit ribosomal RNA". The record is from RNAcentral. Lineage: Bacteria; Pseudomonadati; Pseudomonadota; Betaproteobacteria; Burkholderiales; Alcaligenaceae.
GUCGGAUUAUGGCUCAGAUUGAACGCUGGCGGGAUGCUUUGAGACAUGCAAGUCGAACGGCAGCACGGACUUCAGUCUGGUGGCGAGUGGCGAACGGGUGCAAUGUAUCGGAACGUGCCUAGUAGCGGGGGAUAACUACGCGAAAGCGUAGCUAAUACCGCAUACGACCUUCGGGGGAAAGUGGGGCCUUUCGGGCCUGCACUAUUAGAGCGGCCGAUAUCGGAUUAGCUAGUUGGUGGGGUAACGGUCACCAAGGCGACGAUCCGUAGCUGGUUUGAGAGACGACCAGCCACAUGACUGAGGCACGGGCCCAGACUCCUACGGGAGGCAGCAGUGGGGAAUUUCGGACAAUGGGGAAACCCUGGAUCCAGCCAUCCCGCGCAAUGCGAUGAAGGCCUUCGGUUGUAAAGCACUUUGGCAGGAAGAAACGGCACGGAUAAUACCCUCGUGCAACUGACGGUACCUGCAGAAUAAGCACUGCCAACUACGCGCCAGCAGCCGCGGUAAUGUAGGCAAGCGUUAAUCGGAAUUACUGGGCGGCAGUGGCAGGCGGUUCGGAAAGAAAGAUGUGAACCAGAGCUUAACUUUUGGAACUGCAUUUUUAACUACCGAGCUAGAUGUGUCGAGGGAGGAAAUUCCGCGUGUAGCAGUGAAAUGCGUAGAUAUGCGGAGGAACACCGAUGGCGAAGGUAGCCUCCUGGGAUAACACUGACGCUCAUGCACGAAAGCGUGGGGAGCAAACAGGAUUAGAUACUCCCGGUAGUCCAGACGCCCUAAACGUGAUGUCAACGAGCCACAGCCUUCGCCUCAGCAGCGCAGCUAACGCGUGAAGUUGACCGCCUGGGGAGAGCAAGGUCGCAAGAUUUAAAACCUCCAAAGGAAUGGAUUGGGACCCGCAAUAAGGUGAUGACAGUAGACGACUGAUGCAACGCGAAAACCUUACCUACCCUUGACAUGUCUGGAAUCCCGAAGAGGAUUUGGGGAGUGCUUUCGCAAGGGAACCGGAACACAGGUGCUGGCCGUCGCCAGUCGUGUCGUGGAUGUUGCUUAAGUCCGCAACGAGCGCAACCUUGUCAUUAGUUGCUACGAAAGGGCACUCUGGAUGAGACUGCCGGUGACAAACCGGAGGAAGGUGGAUGACGCCAAGUCCAUGCGGCCCUUAUGGGUAGUGGGCUUCACACGCUCAUGGCUGGUCGGACAGAGGGUCGCCAACCCGCGAGGGGGAGCUAAUCCCAGAAACCCGAUUCAGUCCGGAUCACGGCAACUCGACUGCGUGAAGUCGGAACGCCAGUAAUCGCGGAUCAGCAUGUCGCGGUGAACACGCCCUGGCCCUGUACAUACCGCCCGUCACGGCUAUGGGAGUGGGUUUUACCAGAAGUAGUUAGCCUAACCGUAAGGAGGGCGAUUACCACGGUAGAUUCAUGACUGGGGUGAAGUCGUAACAAGGUAA